AAAAAAAAAAUCCUAAAAUUUCUAACAAAAUAGAUAUUGAAAAUUUGAGAUAUUUGGGAAAUCGAUAUAUCCUAAGUCAAAAUAAUCCAACAAAUCCUUGAAAUUUAUAUCCUAAUAAAGAAUCAUCGACGCUUUAAUUUUGAACGAUUCUACAAGAAUUUUGAAUUUAGACUGCAAACAAACGGAUUUAACAAUACAAAUACGAAAUAGAAUUGUUGAUAUUUGAAUGAAACCAGAGGCAACAAGAGGAAUUAUGGCAAUCCCUUUAACAAUCCCUUUUUGAUUCAAAUUUAGCAGCAUAUAAUUUAUGAAUCACACAUCACGGAUUUAUAUGAAUUCCUGCUCUAUUGGUUCACUACAAUCCCUAUUUGUACCAAAUUUAGUACACAUACCAACAGAGAUCUCAAUAUCGAAUCUGGGGAUUUCAGCUAUGUUCCUUUGUCCAAUACAAAAUUAAGUACUAUUUAGUACUUUUCGUAAAAUUAUGGUAUACAUCUACAAAUCACCGCCAAACUUUAAACACAGAUACCAUCAGUAAUCUAAAUGUCAAAUUUCAGAAUCUUAUCUCUAUAUCUUCAACAAAAGCUAAAUUUAAUAACAUUUGGUACGUUUCGUACAAUUAAAGUACAUAUUUCCAAAACCAUCUCCAUAUCUCAAUUUCAGAUACGAACAGAGACCUUAAUGUCAAUGUUGAGGACUGAAACUCUAUCCUUUCACCCAGUACCAACUUUAGUACUCUUUAGAACUUUUCGCACAAUUAUAGUACACACUGAUACCAAAUUUAUUACUUUUCGUAAACCAAAUCUCCAACACAGGUACCAUCAGUAAUCUAAAUAUCAAAUAUCAGAAUUGUAUCUAUAUCCCUUCCCUCAAUAUCAAAUUUAGCACUUUUCGUACAAUUAUAUUAUUCAUUUCCAAAACCAUUUUCAUAUCUCAAUUCCAGAUACCAACAGAGAUCUCAAUAUAAAAUUCCUUCGUCCAAUACCAAAUUAAGUACUAUUAAUACAAUAAGUACAAUUAUAGUACACAUUUCCAAAUCUCAGCCAAAUCCUAAUAACAGAUAUCAUCAGUAACCUAAAUGUUAAAUUUCCGAAGUUUAUCUCUAUCCCUUCAACCAAAACCAAAUUUAGUACCACUUAGUACUUUUCGUACCACUGACAUAAACAGUGAAAUUUAUAUUAAAUUUUAGUAUUCCAGGUCUGUACCUUCACAUAACGCCACUCCCUAAACCAAACUGUUAUAAAUUUAGCAUCAUUUACUACUUUUCGUAUAUAUAUGCCAGAAGAACCAAAAAAUAAUA
Molecule: long non-coding RNA, 1300 nt
Organism: Musca domestica (house fly)
Lineage: Eukaryota; Metazoa; Arthropoda; Insecta; Diptera; Muscidae
Exons: 3
Source: RefSeq, a predicted model, not a curated record